UCCGGUUGAUCCUGCCGGACCCGACUGCUAUCAGAGUGGGACUAAGCCAUGCGAGUCAACAUAGCAAUAUGUGGCAUACGGCUCAGUAACACGUAGUCAACAUGCCCAGGGGACGUGGAUAACCUCGGGAAACUGAGGAUAAACUGCGAUAAGUCACUACUUCUGGAAUGGGUAAUGACUUAAAUCUAUAUGGCCCCUGGAUUGGACUGCGGCCGAUCAGGCUGUUGGUGAGGUAAUGGCCCACCAAACCUGUAACCGGUACGGGCUCUGAGAGGAGGAGCCCGGAGAUGGGCACUGAGACAAGGGCCCGGGCCCUAUGGGGCGCAGCAGGCGCGAAACCUCUGCAAUAGGCGAAAGCCUGACAGGGUUACUCUGAGUGAUUUCCGUUAAGGAGAUCUUUUGGCACCUCUAAAAAUGGUGCAGAAUAAGGGGUGGGCAAGUCUGGUGUCAGCCGCCGCGGUAAUACCAGCACCCCGAGUGGUCGGGACGUUUAUUGGGCCUAAAGCAUCCGUAGCCGGUUCUGCAAGUCUUCCGUUAAAUCCACCUGCYUAACAGAUGGGCUGCGGAAGAUACUAUAGAGCUAGGAGGCGGGAGAGGCAAGCGGUACUCGAUGGGUAGGGGUAAAAUCCGUUGAUCCAUUGAAGACCACCAGUGGCGAAGGCGGCUUGCCAGAACGCGCUCGACGGUGAGGGAUGAAAGCUGGGGGAGCAAACCGGAUUAGAUACCCGGGUAGUCCCAGCUGUAAACGAUGCAGACUCGGUGACGAAUUGGCUUCAUGCCAAUUCAGUGCCGCAGGGAAGCCGUUAAGUUUGCCGCCUGGGGAGUACGGUCGCAAGACUGAAACUUAAAGGAAUUGGCGGGGGAGCACCACAASGGGUGAAGCCUGCGGUUCAAUUGGAGUCAACGCCGGAAAUCUUACCGGGGGCGACAGCAGAAUGAAGGUCAAGCUGAAGACUUUACCAGACAAGCUGAGAGGAGGUGCAUGGCCGUCGCCAGCUCGUGCCGUGAGGUGUCCUGUUAAGUCAGGUAACGAGCGAGACCCCUGCCUCUAGUUGCUACCAUCAUUCUCAGGAGUAGUGGAGCUAAUUAGAGGGACUGCCGUCGCUGAGACGGAGGAAGGAGGGGGCUACGGCAGGUCAGUAUGCCCCGAAACCCUCGGGCCACACGCGGGCUGCAAUGGUAAGGACAAUGAGUAUCGAUUCCGAAAGGAGGAGGCAAUCUCUAAACCUUACCACAGUUAUGAUUGAGGGCUGAAACUCGCCCUCAUGAAUAUGGAAUCCCUAGUAACCGCGUGUCACUAUCGCGCGGUGAAUACGUCCCUGCUCCUUGCACACACCGCCCGUCGCUUCAUCGAAGUUGGUUCUUGGCGAGGUGAUGCCUAAUUGGUACUAUCGAACCUGGGGUCAGCAACGAGGGAG
This 1418-nucleotide ribosomal RNA is filed under the name uncultured methanogenic archaeon. RNAcentral describes it as "bacterial SSU rRNA". It matches the Rfam family "Archaeal small subunit ribosomal RNA". Lineage: Archaea; Methanobacteriati; Methanobacteriota. The record is from RNAcentral.